Molecule: long non-coding RNA, 2891 nt
Organism: Eupeodes corollae
Lineage: Eukaryota; Metazoa; Arthropoda; Insecta; Diptera; Syrphidae
Exons: 3
Source: RefSeq, a predicted model, not a curated record
AUAUAAUUUCUUUAUUAAAAUAUAACUCUUAUUUAAAGACUACAAAUCUAAUUCGACUGGCUUGGGCGCGUCCGUUGAAUAGAAUAGACGUUAGAAUACAAAUUUUUAUGAGAGCGAGCCAAACAACCUUUUGUCUCGCUUCUAUGUCUCAGGUUUCAGAGUUUCGCGCUCAGCGUGCGACAUCUAGCUACGAAACUCUGAAACCUAAACAUAAGGGGAAUUACACAUUAUUAAUGAUAGUUGCCUUAAUUUUAUACUACAACUCGGCCAAUCUGACAAUUUGAUCGCCCACGAUUAAAUUAAACAAACAAGUCUUAAGUUAUAAUCAUGAGAUGGUAGGUGUCGCCCUUAAUCAACCGAACCUUCAGAGUCUCGAUUCUUCCAAAGUCGAAUAUUUCGAGACUCGACAAUGCCAUCAUAUGGCAGCUGUGUGAUUUGACAACCUUCGAUAUCGCGUAUUACGUAUCUAUCAUUAGGUAGAAUUUUGUAAACAACGUAUGGGCCUCUGAACUUUGGAACCAAUUUCUUAUUUACACCGGUUGUUGUAUCUACAUUUUUUAUUACUACAUAAUCACCCUCAUCGUAUAUACGUGCCGGGUUAUUAUGCUCAUUAAAAUAUUUAAUAUUAUAUUCCUGAAUCUUAGUGAUUGCUUCUGAAGCCUUUUCUCUUGACAAUUCAAGAUUUCUUUCCAGUUGACUUAAUUGUUUAUCAUCAAGAAAUUCUGUUAAUUUGUCGAUUACUACUCCCCUUUGGUUAAUACCAAAUAACAAUUGACUUGGUGUAUUUUGAAUAGCGCGAUGUAUAGUGUUAUUUAGUCCGAAUUCUAUUUGUGUUAAAGUAACAACCCAAUCUGAGUGCUCGAUUGGUUCCGAAAGCUUAGCAAGCAUGCCAGUUAAUACCCUAUUGACUCGCUCUACUUGACCAUUGGCCUGUGGCGAAUGAACUGCCACCUUAACAUGAUCUAUAUUCUGGUCUAUAACAAAUGAACUAAACUCUAGUGAUGUAAAGCAGGUUCCCCUAUCAGUAAUUACUCUUGAUGGCCUACUGUAAUACUCAAAAUAUUUUCUUAGUGCUGCACAUACUUCUUUUGAGCUUGUAGAUACAACUGGGGAGAGGACCAAGAUGAUCCAAGUGUAUUGUAUGGAAUGGAAUGGGCUCCUUAGGAAUAUUGAACAAAUUGCGUAUAUUAGAUCGAACUGGUGCUGAGUGCAUUAUGCAACGGAUACAAUUUUUAAUGUAUUUUUCAACUUUUUCCUGAACAUUCGGAAACCAAUAGUGACGGCCAAUUUGAUCAGAGCUUUUUGUUACACCUAAAUGCCCAAUUUUCUCAUGGAUCAUUCUUAUAACAUUAGUUUCCAUUUCAGAUGGGACAUAGAAUCGAAGUUUACCAUUUUUAUUUUUUUUGAAGACAAUACCAUCCUGAACUAAAAACGAAUUAUUAUCUUUUAAAUAUAGUUUGUUUUUCAUUUCCAAAAUCUUUACAUCUCGAUUUUGGGCUGCUCUGAGUUGGAAAUCAACAUCCUCAGAGUCAAUAACGGAUAUAACAUUACAUCUGCUUAAGGCAUCAACAUGAUUCAUAUUGGCACCACUACGAUGUUUGACCUUAUAAUCAUAAUCCUCCAGCUCUAAGGCCCAUCGAGCAAUUCUAUGAUUAACAUUCUUUUUGUUCAGUGUCAUUGUUAAAGAACUGCAAUCAGUUACGAUUGUAAAAGGAAUACCUUGCAAAUAAACACGGAACCGACGUAAAGCUGAAAUUAUGGCUAAAGUUUCCAAUUCAAAACUAUGGUAUUUGGCCUCUUGAUCAGUGGUGCUUUUAGAGAAGAAUGCUACCGGAUGUAAUUUAUCAUCUUCUUGUCGUUGGAGUAGAACUGCACCAUACCCUAAUGAACUUGCAUCGCAAUGCAGUUCUGUUUCUUUCCUUGGACUAUAGAUUGCCAAUACAGGUGGAGAUGUUAACCGUUCCUUUAAAGUCUGAAAAACAUCUUCGCAUUCGGAAGUAAAUCUAAAAGGAGUUUCAGCUUUUAAUAAAUUAUAAAGAGGUCUUGCUAUUCUUGAAAAGGAUUCGACAAACCUGCGAAAGUAUGAACAAAGUCCUAAAAAUGAAUGCAAUUUCUUUCUGUCUUUAGGCACAGGAUAUUGAGCAAUCGCUCGAAUAUGGGAAUCACUAGGUUGGAUGCCAUGUUCCGUUACUUUAAACCCUAAGUAAUCAAGUUUCGAAUAUGCAAAGCGACAUUUUGACAAGUUGAGCUCCAACCCAUUCUUCGCUACACAACAUAAAAUUUUAGUAAGUAUCUCAAAAUGUUCAGUAAUAGUUUUACUAGCAAUUAAUAUAUCAUCUAGGUAGACAACUAUAUCUCCUCUGUCUAUAAAUUCACGAAAAAUUUGAAUUAUGAAUCUCUGAAAAACACUGGGCGCAUUCUUAAGGCCGAAAGGCAUUUUAAGAAAUUCCCAUUGACCGUUCGGGGUUACGAAAGAUGUUAAUUGUGUUGAAUCUGCUGCUACCUUUACCUGGUAUUCAAUGCAAUCGUCUAUCAAUGGUAUUGGAUGAGGAUCUCUUACUGUACGUUUGUUCAAUGCUCGAUAGUCUAUACACAUUCUGGUUUCACCAGAUUUUUUCUUAACUAAAACUAUUGGUGCAGCAUACGGAGAACUACUUGGCUGAAUAAUUCGUUUUUCCAAUAGGUCUUUUAUUAUUUCACUCACAGUACCUUUUUCUGAGACUGAUAGCCUUCGCGGAGCAAAACAAACAGGAAUAUCAGAUGUAAGUCUAAUGUGCAUCUCAAAAUCCUUUGGUGAAACCAUAGUUUUAUCAAAAUUCAAAUAAUUUUGAGAUACUAUAUUUUUAAUAGUUUUUGAAAUGUCUAAACUAAGAUUUGAAUCAAUGUCUAUA